ACGCUGGCGGCGUGCCUAAUACAUGCAAGUCGAACGAACUCUGGUAUUGAUUGGUGCUUGCAUCAUGAUUUACAUUUGAGUGAGUGGCGAACUGGUGAGUAACACGUGGGAAACCUGCCCAGAAGCGGGGGAUAUCACCUGGAAACAGAUGCUAAUACCGCAUAACAACUUGGACCGCAUGGUCCGAGCUUGAAAGAUGGCUUCGGCUAUCACUUUUGGAUGGUCCCGCGGCGUAUUAGCUAGAUGGUGGGGUAACGGCUCACCAUGGCAAUGAUACGUAGCCGACCUGAGAGGGUAAUCGGCCACAUUGGGACUGAGACACGGCCCAAACUCCUACGGGAGGCAGCAGUAGGGAAUCUUCCACAAUGGACGAAAGUCUGAUGGAGCAACGCCGCGUGAGUGAAGAAGGGUUUCGGCUCGUAAAACUCUGUUGUUAAAGAAGAACAUAUCUGAGAGUAACUGUUCAGGUAUUGACGGUAUUUAACCAGAAAGCCACGGCUAACUACGUGCCAGCAGCCGCGGUAAUACGUAGGUGGCAAGCGUUGUCCGGAUUUAUUGGGCGUAAAGCGAGCGCAGGCGGUUUUUUAAGUCUGAUGUGAAAGCCUUCGGCUCAACCGAAGAAGUGCAUCGGAAACUGGGAAACUUGAGUGCAGAAGAGGACAGUGGAACUCCAUGUGUAGCGGUGAAAUGCGUAGAUAUAUGGAAGAACACCAGUGGCGAAGGCGGCUGUCUGGUCUGUAACUGACGCUGAGGCUCGAAAGUAUGGGUAGCAAACAGGAUUAGAUACCCUGGUAGUCCAUACCGUAAACGAUGAAUGCUAAGUGUUGGAGGGUUUCCGCCCUUCAGUGCUGCAGCUAACGCAUAAGCAUACCGACGCGGCCACGGGCUAAGGGA
RNAcentral lists this ribosomal RNA (894 nucleotides) under Lactiplantibacillus plantarum. RNAcentral describes it as "bacterial SSU rRNA". It matches the Rfam family "Bacterial small subunit ribosomal RNA", at positions 33 to 873 of the family's 1533-position model. Lineage: Bacteria; Bacillati; Bacillota; Bacilli; Lactobacillales; Lactobacillaceae. The record is from RNAcentral.